AGAAAGCCUGCAACACCACAGGGUGGGCAGACGAUGUAGGCACUUUAGGAAUAUAAUCCGGCAUAGGAUACAGAAUGGCCUUGGCUAAUCUAGGGGCAAAGUCAAGACAGGAAGGGGCAACAGAGAGAGCUUUUAGAUCUCCUACUCGCCUGAGAGAUGUCAGGUCCAGCAAAAGAGCUACCUUUAGAGUCAGAAGCUUUUCAGAGGCUGACUCUAAGGGCUCAAAUGAUGCACAUGACAGACCUUCCAGGACCACAGAAGGUUCCAGGAAGUUAAGCGCAGCAUGCAGAUGGGCCUCAGCUGCCUGACACCACUCAUGAAUCUCGAAGUUAGAGGAUGUUGCCCCACACCCCUAGAGUGUGACCCAAGACUAGAAACCGGGGGCACUCAAAUUCUCAGAGCAUGUAGGCAUCUGACACUGAAUACUCUCACGGGUUUCGGCCUUGGACGAAAACCCCAAAGUCUCAGCCACCACUGAACGAUCUCCUGUGCAAUAGGCCCAUAAGCUCCAAUAGUCUCUCAAGAUCCAGCUUUAUCUUGCUCAGUGUUGAUAGGAUUGACCCUACGCAUGUUGGGGAUAGAAAUGCCCUCAUCGUAGUAGAAUCCUUAUAACCCCUAGAAAAGUUGUCCACUGCACUGGGGAAAGCAUACUUUUCGGAGGUUCAACCUGAGCCCCAAGCUCUUCAUGUGGGCGAGAACAACAUCUCAAUGUUGAACCGCCAAUUCCCUGGAUCGUGCUAGAAUUAACCAGUCGUCCAGGUAGUUUAGUACACGGAUGCCCUAGAGCCACAAUGGAGCCAGAGUGACAUCCAUGCACUUUGUGAAGGUGCGAGGGGAUAAAGCUAGCGAUAUUUCUAUGUGGAAAUAUACAUCUUUUAGAUCUAUCGUCACAAACCAGUCCUCAAACUGAAUCGGUGGAACGAUAAGUUUGGGCGUCAGCAUCUUGAACCUGUAUGUCCGAAGAGUACAGUUCAGAUGACACAGAUCUAAAGUUGUCUGCAUACUCCUCUAUUUUUUGCGGACCAGGAAAUAACGGCUGUAAAAACCUCCCUCCCUCAGGGAACGGGGUAUAUGUUCUAUGGCCAGUUUGUCCAAGAGGGAUCUUACUUCCUGCACUAACGUCGGGCUCUGGUCUGUACUGACUACUGUGGUGACCACACCUCUGAAUUGGGGGGGUCGAGCUCUAAACUGGACCUGGUAACCCUUUUCUAUGGUAGACAGAACUCAUGGAGACACAUUUGACAGUAGUUUCCACGCUGUCAGAUGGUCUUUUAGUGAUGUUAACUAUUCCACAUUCUAUUGGAGGGAAAGCAUCAGAUUUUUGUUGCCCUGUGACAGCUCGCUGACCAGAGAACAUUGAAAACUUUGGACAGCCUUGGCUAGUGGAAGCCCUACAGUAGUGCUGGGAGCUAAAUGCUCUCACAACCUCCUGUCCCCUGAUACAUCCCUCCACGACCCCUCAGAACCGCUCUUCUUUGCCUGCUUGGCCUUUAUGACCAUUCACAGAUCAAGCCUAGUAGCAGGCUGCGGCUGUGGCCGCCCGGUUCCCCUGGCUGUCUGCGGGGGUUGGCGGGCUGCCAUACUUGCCUUCUGUGUUUCCCUCGCACUAGUGCUGGCCCGGCCUCCACUCGUGGAUGCCUGAGUGAACUCGACACAACAGGGAAGGAACUGGCUGAAUGCCGCCUUAGGUCGAGCUCACUCAGCAGGUCUGCUUGGUAGGCCUGCAACACUGUCAUUUUCUGCAGUGACUCACAAGCAAGACUACUACUGCAUAGGCCUUGCCCACCAAUGCCACGGUGGCCUUACACGGUGGCUUGGAUGGCAAAGCCGGCCCCCCUAAUUACCUGAUGGAGAGAGGUAGCUCACAACCGCCUCCUCCUCCUUCAGCAUAGCUAAAUAGCCAUGCCAUUCAUUCCCCACAAUAGCAGAAUAAUCGUGGGGUUAUAAAUACGGCUUAUGCAUGGUUUUCCCCGAGAAGCCUGAUAUUUUGUCAUGCACUUAUGGAAGAAAGGGGAGUUUUCUGCAGUGUGAGGGAUUUACUUUCACUGGGGAGAAAAAGGCUCAUCCAGCCUUAGUAAUGACUUCAAACAGCUCUUUAUAUGCUGCUCUCAGUUUUUAGCACAUCCUUCUGGCUCCUCGGAGUCAGAGAGGAAUUAUUAUUAUUAUUAUUAUUAUUAUUAUUAUUAGUAGUAGUAGUAGUAGUAGUAGUAGUAGUAUUUGUGUGUGUGUGUGCGCGCGCGCGCGCGCGCGUGUGUGUUUUCUCGCUCUCUUUUUCCCCCCUUUUGGCUUUCCAUAGCGGAAGGAGGAGUCCGAAGUGGCUCCAAAAUCCAGCGGAGAGCCGGACCCGGAAGACAGAGCAAGAGAUAGAGCAGCGCUAGUCUCCGGCUCCUCUUCUGGAUCCAUAAGCGAUCCCACGAACCUGAGACGGCUAGCUGCCUUGGCAGCGAGGUUCUGAAACCCAACUCGCUUCAGGUUCCGAGAAGAGCGCGAGUCGCGAACGGAGCUGUCUGAUAUCAACUACAUUUUGGGUUUGGGGAACACUGGAAUAUUUCGUCCUAGGCUGCAAACUGGACACCCUGAAGGUGGUGGUGGACAAAAUUAAGAGGAUCAUGGACAAUAGCAAACACCCCCUCCAUGCCACACUGGCCAAACAGCGGUGCUCCUUCUCCAGUAGAUUAUGGCAGCUUCACUGUAACAAAGAAAGGUACAAGAAGUCAUUCUUGCCCACUGCUGUCCGACUGUACAAUGAGUCAACAACGACGUUGGGGAGCUAUGUGGACAUUGGAGAUGAUGGACAUGUCUACUGAGUUUGCAUACUCAGCUAUUACACUACAUAUUGCACAACAAUUUUUACAUAGGGUCACUGCAUAUUCUUACACAUGCACUUCCACUUUACUUAUGACUUACUGAUGACUACUGUACAUUUAUACACACAUUAAUGAAACUGCUCUUCACACAUGUAAGUCCAAUGUAAGUUUUAAACGUGCCAACCUGUAAUAUAUUUCAUACAGUUUAUCUGUACAGGAAUCUUAGUCUGUAAGUAACUUAGAGAGCUAUUUAUAUGUGUAUUUUUAAUUCUCUUAUUUAUGGUGUAUAUUGUGAGUUUAUGGUGCAAGUCUUGUGAACUGUUAAGUCUUAGUCCUCCCUGUUGUGCUUGUGUUGUGGCUGUAGUGACACCAAAUUGCCCAUUGGGGAUCAAUAAAGUACUCUCUGUCUCUGUCUACCUCUA
Long non-coding RNA from Ictalurus punctatus (channel catfish), 3229 nucleotides. RefSeq lists it as uncharacterized. The record is from RefSeq and is a predicted model, not a curated record. NCBI's taxonomy places the organism in Eukaryota, Metazoa, Chordata, Actinopteri, Siluriformes, Ictaluridae. The transcript has 2 exons.